UGAGGGAGCAAGUUCACUGUCAAGUGAUGU
RNAcentral lists this non-coding RNA (30 nucleotides) under Rattus norvegicus (Norway rat). Lineage: Eukaryota; Metazoa; Chordata; Mammalia; Rodentia; Muridae. The record is from RNAcentral.